Molecule: non-coding RNA, 461 nt
Organism: Hemibagrus wyckioides
Lineage: Eukaryota; Metazoa; Chordata; Actinopteri; Siluriformes; Bagridae
Source: the annotation of a RefSeq genome assembly
AUGUUCUCUACAUCUCUACUGCUCCUGCUGGCAGCUGCUUCUUAUGUGUGUUGCAUCAGUCUGACCUCGUCUCCUGAUGAGGCUAAAUCUCCCGGAGCCUCCGUGAAGUUGUCCUGUCAGAUUUCUGGCUAUGCCCUCACUGACUAUGGAACAGUCUGGAUCAAGCAAGCUCCAGGAAAAGGCUUAGAGUGGAUCGGGAUCAUAUGGGGUGGUGGAAGCAUAGACUAUGGAACUUCCUUUAAAACUCGUUUCAGCAUCUCCAGAGACACGAGCAACAAUGUGCUUUACUUAGAUAUCAGCAGCCUGGUGUCAGAGGACACGGCUGUUUACUACUGUGCAAAGACAGACACAGCUGUACAGCUCAGUGCUAGAGGUGUACAAAAACAUCAUCAAUAAAAAUGCAAGGAUGAUCAAAUUAACAAGUAAUACAUUAUAAUGGGGAAAAACCCUCUCUUUCACCA